UACGUAGGGUGCGAGCGUUGUCCGGAAUUACUGGGCGUAAAGAGCUCGUAGGCGGUUUGUCACGUCGUCUGUGAAAUCCCUCGGCUUAACCGGGGGCGUGCAGGCGAUACGGGCAGACUUGAGUACUACAGGGGAGACUGGAAUUCCUGGUGUAGCGGUGAAAUGCGCAGAUAUCAGGAGGAACACCGGUGGCGAAGGCGGGUCUCUGGGUAGUAACUGACGCUGAGGAGCGAAAGCAUGGGUAGCGAAC
Molecule: ribosomal RNA, 250 nt
Filed under: uncultured bacterium
Lineage: Bacteria
Also listed under: 2 other names
Description: partial 16S ribosomal RNA
Rfam family: Bacterial small subunit ribosomal RNA
Source: RNAcentral